RNAcentral lists this ribosomal RNA (237 nucleotides) under Triticum aestivum (bread wheat). Its description in RNAcentral is "partial small subunit ribosomal RNA". The record is from RNAcentral. Lineage: Eukaryota; Viridiplantae; Streptophyta; Magnoliopsida; Poales; Poaceae.
AUGAAGUUCCUACUAGUAAUGACACUCCUAGCUCUAUUUCAGAGGCCUAUACAUCUGAAGAUGCUGACUACUGGAAGGAAGCGGUGCAAAUGGGUAUUCAAGAAGAAGCUUAGGCCUGAUGGUACUAUCGAAAAGUACAAGGCACGGCUCAUGGACAAGGGAUAUACCCAAAAAGAAGGUGAAGACUUCUUUGAUACCUACCUCACAUGGUCUUCUCGUCCAUCAAAUGGAUGUUAA